This 447-nucleotide ribosomal RNA is filed under the name uncultured bacterium. RNAcentral's name for it is "SSU rRNA". It matches the Rfam family "Bacterial small subunit ribosomal RNA", at positions 26 to 518 of the family's 1533-position model. The record is from RNAcentral.
AGAACGAACGCUGGCGGCAGGCCUCAAACAUGCAAGUCUAGGGGGUGUAGCAAUACAUCACCGGCGGACGGGUGCGUAACGCGUGGGAAUAUACCUAUUGGUUCGGAACAACUGAGGGAAACUUCAGCUAAUACCGAAUGUGCCCUAACGGGGAAAGAUUUAUCGCCAAUGGAUUAGCCCGCGUUCGAUUAGCUAGUUGGUGGGGUAACGGCUCACCAAGGCUACGAUCGAUAGCUGUUCUGAGAGGAAGAUCAGCCACACUGGGACUGAGACACGGCCCAGACUCCUACGGGAGGCAGCAGUUGGGAAUCUUGGACAAUGGGGGAAACCCUGAUCCAGCCAUGCCGCGUGAGUGAUGAAGGCCUUCGGGUUGUAAAACUCUUUCGCGCACGACGAUAAUGACGGUAGUGCGAGAGAAGCUCCGGCUAACUUCGCGCCAGCAGCCGC